CUUUGCACUGGACUUUGAGCCUGCUUGUGUAGGAUAGGUGGGAGGCUUUGAAGCGUGGACGCCAGUUCGCGUGGAGCCAUCCUUGAAAUACCACCCUGGCAUGCUUGAGGUUCUAACUCUGGUCCGUGAUCCGGAUCGAGGACAGUGUAUGGUGGGCAGUUUGACUGGGGCGGUCUCCUCCUAAAGAGUAACGGAGGAGUACGAAGGUGCGCUCAGACCGGUCGGAAAUCGGUCGCAGAGUAUAAAGGCAAAAGCGCGCUUGACUGCGAGACAGACACGUCGAGCAGGUACGAAAGUAGGUCUUAGUGAUCCGGUGGUUCUGUAUGGAAGGGCCAUCGCUCAACGGAUAAAAGGUACUCCGGGGAUAACAGGCUGAUACCGCCCAAGAGUUCAUAUCGACGGCGGUGUUUGGCACCUCGAUGUCGGCUCAUCACAUCCUGGGGCUGAAGCCGGUCCCAAGGGUAUGGCUGUUCGCCAUUUAAAGUGGUACGCGAGCUGGGUUUAGAACGUCGUGAGACAGUUCGGUCCCUAUCUGCCGUGGACGUUUGAGAUUUGAGAGGGGCUGCUCCUAGUACGAGAGGACCGGAGUGGACGAACCUCUGGUGUUCCGGUUGUCACGCCAGUGGCAUUGCCGGGUAGCUAUGUUCGGAAAAGAUAACCGCUGAAAGCAUCUAAGCGGGAAACUUGCCUCAAGAUGAGAUCUCACUGGGAACUUGAUUCCCCUGAAGGGCCGUCGAAGACUACGACGUUGAUAGGCUGGGUGUGUAAGCGUUGUGAGGCGUUGAGCUAACCAGUACUAAUUGCCCGUGAGGCUUGACCAUAUAACACCCAAACA
RNAcentral lists this ribosomal RNA (835 nucleotides) under Pseudomonas aeruginosa. Its description in RNAcentral is "partial 23S ribosomal RNA". It matches the Rfam family "Bacterial large subunit ribosomal RNA", at positions 2110 to 2925 of the family's 2925-position model. The record is from RNAcentral. Lineage: Bacteria; Pseudomonadati; Pseudomonadota; Gammaproteobacteria; Pseudomonadales; Pseudomonadaceae.